This 253-nucleotide ribosomal RNA is filed under the name uncultured bacterium. RNAcentral's name for it is "partial 16S ribosomal RNA". It matches the Rfam family "Archaeal small subunit ribosomal RNA", at positions 474 to 727 of the family's 1478-position model. The record is from RNAcentral.
UACCCGCAGCACAAGUGGUGGUCAUUAUUAUUGGGCCUAAAGCGUCCGUAGCUGGCUUGUUAGAUGCCUGGGUAAAUCGAUGCGCUUAACGCAUCGAAUUCCGGGUAGACCGGCAAGCUCGAGACCGGGAGAGGUGUAGGCUACUCGGGGGGUAGGGGUAAAAUCCUGUAAUCCUUCGGGGAGGACCAGUGGCGAAGGCGCUACACUAGAACGGCUCUGACAGUGAGGGACGAAGCCCUGGGGCGCAAACGGG